RNAcentral lists this long non-coding RNA (258 nucleotides) under Equus asinus (donkey). RNAcentral's name for it is "lncRNA (ENSEASG00005025692.1)". Lineage: Eukaryota; Metazoa; Chordata; Mammalia; Perissodactyla; Equidae. The record is from RNAcentral.
CCAGCUUUCAUGCACCUUUCAGUGAGGUGUGAAAACCAGGAUGUGCGCCCCAGUUCCCAAAGGUGGAAGCCCACAAGGAAGACCACAGGACUCAGCUGGGACAACUGUGAUUGUGGCUGCCAUCCAUGCAGAGCCUCCUGAGGGUUUGCUGAAGGAGCCACUUCCAGCCACCAGAAUCGGAGCUCCUAUUGAUGUGACCGUCCCCAGCUCCCCACACGCAAAGAGGGCUGUCUCUCUCCUCUUGCUUCUCAGUUUUAC